Molecule: long non-coding RNA, 748 nt
Filed under: Nicotiana tabacum (common tobacco)
Lineage: Eukaryota; Viridiplantae; Streptophyta; Magnoliopsida; Solanales; Solanaceae
Description: long non-coding RNA (NTAB_LNC014487)
Source: RNAcentral
UUUCUCCAGGUGGGCGCCCAAAUACGAAAACUUGAAUUGUAUUCCCUUGUUCUCCAGGUGGGCGCUUGAUUGCCGAAACUUUAACUGUAUUUCCUUAUUCUCCAGGUGGGCGCCUGAUUGCGAAAACUGGAAAUGUAUUCCCUUGUUCUCCAGGUGGGCGUAUGAUUGCCAAAACUUGAACUGUAUUCCCUUGUUCUCCAGGUGGGUGCCUGAUUGCCAAAACUUUGAACUAUAUUUCCCUGUUCUCCAAGUGGGCGCCUGAUUGCCGAAAUUUGAACUAUAUUCCCUUGUUCUCCUUGAACUGUAUUCCCUUGUUCUAAAGGUGGGUGCCUGAUUGCCCAAACUUGAACUGUAUUCCCUUGUUCUCCAGGUGGGUGCCUAAUUGCAAAAACCUGAACUGCAUUCCCUUGUUCUCCAGGUGGGCGCCUGAUUGCUGAAACUUUAACUGUAUUUCCUUGUUCUCCAGGUGGGCGCCUGAUUGCGAAAACUUGAACUAUAUUCCCUUGUUCUCCAGGUGGGUGCCUGAUUGCCAAAACUUUAAUUGUAUUCCCUUGUUCUCCAGGUAGGCGUCUGAUUGCCAAAACAUUAACUGUAUUUCCUUGUUCUCCAGGAGGGCGCCUGAUUGCCAAAACUUUAACUGUGUUCACAUGUUCUACAGGUAGGCGCCUGAUUGCCAAAACAUUAACGGUAUUCCCUUGUUCUCCAGGUGGGCGCCUGAUUGCCAAAACUUGAACUAUAUUCCCUUGUU